RNAcentral lists this ribosomal RNA (474 nucleotides) under Triticum aestivum (bread wheat). RNAcentral's name for it is "partial small subunit ribosomal RNA". Lineage: Eukaryota; Viridiplantae; Streptophyta; Magnoliopsida; Poales; Poaceae. The record is from RNAcentral.
AUGAAUGCCCUAGUUUGGAACUGCCGGGGGGGGGGGAACCGCUGGACAGUUUGUGAGGUUUUGGCCCUCUCAAAAGCCAAUAACCCCAAGCUUGUCUUCCUGUGCGAGACUAGGCAAGCUACUGUGAAAAUAGAAAAGUUACGUUGGAGACUUGGUCUGAAAGGUUUUCAUGGUGUGAGUAGUGAUGGGAGGAGUGGGGGCUUAGCACUCUUCUGGGAUGAGUCCCUCUCGAUCACGGUGAAUGAUUCUUGUAAUCGUUAUAUUGAUGUCAGUGUGGUCGAUGGUGGAUCAGGCACAUCUUGGCGGUGCACCUUUGUCUAUGGAGAGCCCAGGGUGGAAAACUGCUAUUGUAUGUGGGAGCACAUCUGCCGGCUUCGAGCUUUCUCGCGCGAGCCGUGGAUGGUGUGCGGCGACUUCAAUGAAGCUUUGUGGCAACAUGAACAUCUAUUAAGGACAGAACGCUCGGAAGCUUAG